This is a long non-coding RNA of Gallus gallus (chicken), 902 nucleotides long. Lineage: Eukaryota; Metazoa; Chordata; Aves; Galliformes; Phasianidae. The record is from Ensembl.
CUGGCUGUGCCUGGGCUCCGCACGGCUGCUCCUCUCCCCGGUGUCUGUCAGAGCCACUCUGUGGCAGCUGAUGCAGCUUCUGAAACCUCUGAGGCACUGGGGAGGACGGUUCUGUGUGGCGGGGAGCUCUGGGGCCGUCAUCAGAGAGAUGUCAGGGAUGAGGGCACCCACAGCAAGCAGCUCCUCUGGGGGCCGAGCUGAGGCAGGACUUGCCUGAGCCCAAACAGGCACUGCUGGUGAUGACCUGUGAAGUGUUCACAGCACGUCUGGCACAGGGAGUCCUUCACUGGGCUGGAGAGAUCUGCCAGCUGUGUGCAGCAGAGAGAAACUGGAUCCCUCAAGUUCGGAUGAAAGCGUGAGGAGAAGGUUUAUACAGUUAGCCACACUUUGAGGCCACUUAAUCUCUCUUCCACUGAGGAAAAGAGAUAUUUCAAAUACAGACAGUAAAAAAGGACUCCAAAAGUAUAAAUAAAUGUUAUACUGCUCAGGACACUCUUUGUGGAAGAGCUGAGAUAGUGACAGGACAAGAGGGAAUGGCUUUAAGCUGCGUCAAGGGAAGCUGACAUUUGGUCUUGGUGAUCUUAGUGGUCUUUCCAACCCUACUGAUUCUAUGAUUCUGUUCUAUGAUUCUCAACCAUGGUUCUGCUGAAUGUCCCACAGACAGACCCACCGCACUGGAAUGCUGGUCUGCCUCCUGAGGUUUAUUUAGCAGCAGUGCAAUGCCCCAUCCUGGCCCGAAGGGAGAGGAACAGGAGCACAGCAUCAAGAGAGAGGUGUGUGCUGCACCUGGAGCCUUCAUCGCAUUUGCACAGACACUUCUGCACCGAGACUGGGCUGUUGCAUUAGAGUUUGCUUAGGUCAAAGGGAAAUUAGGAUUAUUCCUCAAAUAACAAAUGUUUAAG